UACGUAGGGACCAAGCGUUGUUCGGAUUUACUGGGCGUAAAGGGCGCGUAGGCGGCGCGGUAAGUCACUUGUGAAAUCUCUGAGCUUAACUCAGAACGGCCAAGUGAUACUGCAGUGCUAGAGUGUGGAAGGGGCGAUCGGAAUUCUGGGUGUAGCGGUGAAAUGCGUAGAUAUCAAGAGGAACACCUGAGGUGAAGACGGGUUGCUGGGCCAACACUGACGCUGAGGCGCGAAAGCCAGGGGAGCAAACGGG
Molecule: ribosomal RNA, 253 nt
Filed under: uncultured bacterium
Lineage: Bacteria
Description: partial 16S ribosomal RNA
Rfam family: Bacterial small subunit ribosomal RNA
Source: RNAcentral